UCCACGGUCAGCACAGAAUGCAGGCCCAGGAAGCUCUUGUGACCUCCAGGCCAGCAACACCGCUCCCUCUCAGGGCACCUGGAAUUUCUUGUUUGCACACUGGACGUGCACUUGACCCGCACAUUUUGUUUCUGGCAGUGGUGUCACGUACUUCCUUGAUGCUGGGAGGUCAACAAUUGAGCGGGAGUGUUUGAAGAGGAAAGAGGAUGAGCCAAGUCUGACAAGACCACAGUCUCCUUCCUGCUGCAGUCACCUUGGGCUUCCUAGUAGCGUCACCUGGGGCAAAGAUGGAUGGGAUCUGGAUGGCUUGUUGGAGCAGGGAGUCAGGAGCUAUCCCAUGUGAGAGAGUCCACUGUCAUUUCCAUUUUGUGGAUGAAGAAAGAAGUCCGGGAAACAGGAAGUAACUUGUCCAAGCUAGGACAAGCAGUGUGCCACAGCUGUCUGCUCCAUAGACCACCUGUCACACUGGUCUUAGAGAUUUUUGGGUGAGGAGGAACUUUUGUUACAAUGACCAAGCCCAAGGAAAAGUCUCUGGACCUUUGGAAGGAUGUUCAAAACCCCGUCUCCAUCCCAGUUCCUGCUUGAUAAGCCAGGAAUCAAGUUGGAUGUUCCACAACGUUCCGCUCCCUGGCCAAUAGGGCAGGUGCUGGCCAGCACUUCCCACCUCAGAAGUUCACGGGUCCCAACAAUAUGGGCGGCCCACUAAUGGUGGGCUGUGCCAAUGGCUUUCAGACAGGAAACUGCUGGGUGGUUUGCCUUCCUUCACACUUCUGAGGAGAGAUGACCCAGAAGGACAACCUGAUGAGAACUGAGAUCUGGAACUGCUAUGACUGUCCCCACUUCCAAAACCCCCAAUCAUUCUCUGGUUCCACAGGACUUGGCUCUGCCUGGCUCUCAGGGCCCCUCCUGCAGCCAGCAGCUGUUCAGUGUUGAUUAUAGGAUCCCAAUGAAUCCCAAACUACCGUGAUUCACAAGAGGAAAGAACACRCGUAAGCCCUCCAUAGCCAGAGAGCGAUUUGUUUACGUAGUCCCAUUGAACAGAAACAAUUCGCUUGUGCUGCUAGGGAACAGAGGCCCAGGACCAGCCCUGGGGGAGUGAACUUGUCCCCUCUCAGGACCUCAGGACAAGGAAGGAGGCGUGAUGGAUAGAGAAGCAGCAGAUCACUCAAGUGGAAGACACUUGAGGCUAUGUCCCCCGCCCUCAGCAACAGGUGCACUGUGAAUGAGUGAGCCCUGAGGAGUUGGGGUGGGUGCACUCUGCCGCCCCAGCAGGGGGUUUCAGAAGGCAGGACCACUUGCAGAGAUGGCAGCUGGUGGAGACCUGAGGCCUGGGGAGUGACAGGCAGAAAUAACGGAUCCGGUGAUGGCAUCCCUUACAAUGGGCUU
Urocitellus parryii (Arctic ground squirrel) is the source of this 1386-nucleotide non-coding RNA. NCBI's taxonomy places the organism in Eukaryota, Metazoa, Chordata, Mammalia, Rodentia, Sciuridae. The record is from RefSeq and is a predicted model, not a curated record.